ACAAAAAUGCAUUUGUUUUAAUGCAAAGCUCGAAAUAUUAAAAAUUCACAUGCUCCCAAUCAAUGCAAUGCUCUCUGGGAAGGUUCUGUGGCCGGCACCCCGGCACCUACCAAUGAAAAUUGCAGUUGCGUUAUUGAAAAUACAAGCUGAUGCCCAUUUCUUCUGCUUCUGGGAGAGGUGUGGAAUCAAUAUGCCGAUAUGAAGUAUGUUGUUGGGGUUGUUGUAUGCUCCUUCUGCGAACAUGCAUAACACCAAAAAUGUUGUGGUGUUUAGUAUUAUUAAGUCUAAGCUCCUUUAGACCAUAUUAUUCCUAGCUUUUGCCCAUAAGUUUCUUAAAUUCUUAAAUGAUGUAUUUUUUAAAAAAAAUGUAUAGAGGAUAAUCAUUUCAUGUUUCUAAAUUAGAUUUUUUAAUUUUAUAGUAGUUAGUUUCAUCAUUUAUAUCAUAAAAUAUAUAUUAAAAAAUAGAUAAUUUUUCACCUUCAUCUAACAAAAGAAUACAGUCUAAACAUGCACCAUCCUCGCAUGGUUCCUUUGUCCCACCAUCGAUGGCUCUCCGUCUCCCAUGUGCUCCUGUCGAUCUGAACGGAUCAUUCAGAUUCAGUAUCAGUGCACCUACAUGAGACACUCCGUUUUCUCCAAUGUAAUGACGACGGAACCAGAUCGUCUGGCGUUG
This 673-nucleotide long non-coding RNA is filed under the name Oryza brachyantha (malo sina). Its description in RNAcentral is "long non-coding RNA (OBRA_LNC001238)". The record is from RNAcentral. Lineage: Eukaryota; Viridiplantae; Streptophyta; Magnoliopsida; Poales; Poaceae.